This 424-nucleotide ribosomal RNA is filed under the name uncultured prokaryote. RNAcentral describes it as "bacterial SSU rRNA". It matches the Rfam family "Bacterial small subunit ribosomal RNA", at positions 355 to 796 of the family's 1533-position model. The record is from RNAcentral.
CAAGGAAUUUUCCCCAAUGGGCGCAAGCCUGAGGGAGCAACGCCGCGUGCAGGACGACGGCUUUCGGGUUGUAAACUGCUUUUGCGUGGGACGAUAACGACGGUACCACGCGAAUAAGCCCCGGCUAACUCCGUGCCAGCAGCCGCGGUAAUACGGAGGGGGCUAGCGUUGUUCGGAAUUACUGGGCGUAAAGCGCGCGUAGGCGGACUUUCAAGUCAGGGGUGAAAUCCCGAGGCUCAACCUCGGAACUGCCUUUGAUACUGAUCGUCUUGAGUCCGAGAGAGGUGAGUGGAAUUCCUAGUGUAGAGGUGAAAUUCGUAGAUAUUAGGAAGAACACCAGUGGCGAAGGCGGCUCACUGGCUCGGUACUGACGCUGAGGCGCGAAAGCGUGGGGAGCAAACAGGAUUAGAUACCCCCGUAGUCC